RNAcentral lists this microRNA (20 nucleotides) under Marchantia polymorpha subsp. ruderalis. The record is from RNAcentral. Lineage: Eukaryota; Viridiplantae; Streptophyta; Marchantiopsida; Marchantiales; Marchantiaceae.
CAUGUGAAUAGGGCUUUUUC